UGGGGAAUAUUGCACAAUGGGGGAAACCCUGAUGCAGCGACGCCGCGUGAGCGAUGAAGGCUUUCGAGUCGUAAAGCUCUGUCCUAUGGGAAGAUAAUGACGGUACCAUAGAAGAAAGCCCCGGCUAAUUACGUGCCAGCAGCCGCGGUAAUACGUAAGGGGCGAGCGUUGUCCGGAAUUAUUGGGCGUAAAGAGUGCGUAUGCAGCAAAUUAAGUCAGAUGUGAAAACUAAGGGCUCAACCCAUAGAUUGCAUCUGAAAAUGAUUUACUUGAGUAUAGGAGAGGAAAGUGGAAUUCCUAGUGGAGCGGUGGAAUGCGUAGAUAAUAGGAGGAAUACCGGUGGCGAAGGCGACUUUCGGGACUUGAACUGAAGCUGAGGCACGAAAGCGGGGGGAGCAAACAGG
This 404-nucleotide ribosomal RNA is filed under the name Verrucomicrobiota bacterium. RNAcentral describes it as "Verrucomicrobia bacterium partial 16S ribosomal RNA". It matches the Rfam family "Bacterial small subunit ribosomal RNA", at positions 355 to 776 of the family's 1533-position model. The record is from RNAcentral. Lineage: Bacteria; Pseudomonadati; Verrucomicrobiota.